RNAcentral lists this ribosomal RNA (253 nucleotides) under uncultured bacterium. Its description in RNAcentral is "partial 16S ribosomal RNA". It matches the Rfam family "Bacterial small subunit ribosomal RNA", at positions 524 to 776 of the family's 1533-position model. The record is from RNAcentral.
UACGGGGGGGGUAAGCGUUGUUCGGAAUUACUGGGCGUAAAGGGCUCGUAGGCGGCCAACUAAGUCAUACGUGAAAUCCCUCAGCUUAACUGGGGAACUGCGUGUGAUACUGGAUGGCUUGGAUUUGGGAGAGGGAUGCGGAAUUCCAGGUGUAGCGGUGAAAUGCGUUGAUAUCUACAGGAACUCCGGUGGCGAAAGCGGCGUGCUGGACCUUUUCUGACGCUGAGGCGCGAAAGCGUGGGGAGCAAACAGG